This is a long non-coding RNA of Marmota flaviventris (yellow-bellied marmot), 740 nucleotides long. RefSeq lists it as uncharacterized. Lineage: Eukaryota; Metazoa; Chordata; Mammalia; Rodentia; Sciuridae. The record is from RefSeq and is a predicted model, not a curated record.
UUGUGAAUGAUUUUUUUCAAUGAUUUUAUGAAGAGUAUGCAAUUUAAGAGAAUAACUAGUAUUGGAUUAUCCAAGAAAAGAAGGAAGAAGAUGGAAUUAUAGGUAUUCACAAUGAGUGAUAUAUUGAAGGUAACUUGAGUACAGCUGAUGAAAUCAUCAGGAAUAUCUUCCUUUGGAGUCCUUAAUUUUUACAUCUUAACUGCAAAGCAUAGAUGAUAGUUUCAAGAAAGAAUACUUCUGUCAUCCUUGGUUUUAAUCCUGUGAAUGAUAUGUACUAGCAAUGAAAGAUCUGUUGGAGUAAUUUAAUUCAUGUGUUCUUCACUCCUAUCUCUCACUUGGCGGGAAUUACUGGAAAGAAAUGCAUGCCAUUGUUUUUACCACCUUCUUCCUCAAAACUAAAAUAUGUUCUGCAUAAUGAAUGAAGACUUUAUACUUAAUGUGUGUUGCAAUGGACACUCCUUGCUCAUCAGAAGAACUGAACUCAGAAAACUUGUUUUUGAAAAGAGACCUAAAAUAUAGCCCAGAAAAUUCUAAUACUUAGUUGUAUUAAUUGUCUUUAUUGUUGCUGUUGGACUUUAUCUCAGGAAGUGCAAUGGAAGAAACAUUUGUGUCCAGAGAAGUUUUCCAUAAGUAUAAAGUGCAUGCAUUUAUAAUUAUCACUUAUGACAGGAUAAAUUUGAACAUGACUUUAAAAUAUUAAAGAAUGCAGAAUCUUGUGAAGCAGGUUUUUUUUGGUACUG